RNAcentral lists this ribosomal RNA (253 nucleotides) under uncultured prokaryote. RNAcentral's name for it is "partial 16S ribosomal RNA". It matches the Rfam family "Bacterial small subunit ribosomal RNA", at positions 524 to 776 of the family's 1533-position model. The record is from RNAcentral.
UACGUAGGUGGCAAGCGUUGUCCGGAUUUACUGGGUGUAAAGGGCGUGUAGGCGGGAUUGCAAGUCAGAUGUGAAAUCUCUCGGCUCAACCGAGAGCGCGCAUUUGAAACUGUGAUUCUUGAGUGAUGGAGAGGCAGGCGGAAUUCCUUGUGUAGCGGUGAAAUGCGUAGAUAUAAGGAGGAACACCAGUGGCGAAGGCGGCCUGCUGGACAUUAACUGACGCUGAGGCGCGAAAGCGUGGGGAGCAAACAGG